UUUUACACCCCUCUUCCCCCACUCACUUCCUCUGUCUCUCUUUCCUUCUCUUUCUGGGUCUCUCUAUCUCCUUCUCUGUGCCCGUUAUACUUUCCAGAUUUUUGCCAUCUCUUUCUUUUCCUCCAUUGAUCCAACUUCCAAGCUCAUAGAAACAAAUAGGAGAAGUUGCAGAUUUAUGGUUUAUGGUCCUUUCGUUUUCAUGCACUUCUG
RNAcentral lists this unclassified non-coding RNA (210 nucleotides) under Hevea brasiliensis (rubber tree). The record is from RNAcentral. Lineage: Eukaryota; Viridiplantae; Streptophyta; Magnoliopsida; Malpighiales; Euphorbiaceae.